Molecule: signal recognition particle RNA, 100 nt
Filed under: Nitrospinota bacterium
Lineage: Bacteria; Pseudomonadati; Nitrospinota
Description: signal recognition particle sRNA small type
Rfam family: Bacterial small signal recognition particle RNA
About the family: The signal recognition particle (SRP) is a universally conserved ribonucleoprotein involved in the co-translational targeting of proteins to membranes. Archaeal SRP consists of a 7S RNA and homologues of the eukaryotic SRP19 and SRP54 proteins.
Source: RNAcentral
AGCCGGGUCUCGUGCGGCGGGAACUUGCGAACUCCGUCAGGUCCGGAAGGAAGCAGCGGUAAGCAAUUAUUCCUGGGUGCCACGAGAGUGCCUGAUUUCG